GACGAACGCUGGCGGCGUGCUUAACACAUGCAAGUCGAACGGAAAGGCCCUGCUUUUGUGGGGUGCUCGAGUGGCGAACGGGUGAGUAACACGUGAGUAACCUGCCCUUGACUUUGGGAUAACUUCAGGAAACUGGGGCUAAUACCGGAUAGGAGCUCCUGCUGCAUGGUGGGGGUUGGAAAGUUUCGGCGGUUGGGGAUGGACUCGCGGCUUAUCAGCUUGUUGGUGGGGUAGUGGCUUACCAAGGCUUUGACGGGUAGCCGGCCUGAGAGGGUGACCGGCCACAUUGGGACUGAGAUACGGCCCAGACUCGUACGGGAGGCAGCAGUGGGGAAUAUUGCACAAUGGGCGGAAGCCUGAGGCAGCAACGCCGCGUGCGGGAUGACGGCCUUCGGGUUGUAAACCGCUUUCGCCUGUGACGAAGCGUGAGUGACGGUAAUGGGUAAAGAAGCACCGGCUAACUACGUG
This 468-nucleotide ribosomal RNA is filed under the name uncultured bacterium. RNAcentral describes it as "partial 16S ribosomal RNA". It matches the Rfam family "Bacterial small subunit ribosomal RNA", at positions 28 to 507 of the family's 1533-position model. The record is from RNAcentral.